CGGGAAAGAAGCUGGGCACCUUUUCGAGGAGAUGUGCGAAUUAGUGAAACUGUGUAUUUUUGUGCAGCAUUUAAGCAAUCCAGUACAACCUCCAGCUCUACACCUCCUUGCCGUAAGGUUGCCAGUAAAACUGUAUAAAAGGAACCUGAGCCUGAAGGUUUCAGGCGGCACACCUUGGAAAUUCUACACAUGAUCCGGCUGAGGCUUGAUAACCUGAAUGCCCUGAUGGGCACUGUGUUAGAAGCUGUGAACAAGCACAAGGAGGACGACGACAACUUCCCCGUUCAGGAGCCAACUGCAAGCUACAACACCUUCAUGGAAUCUGAGUGCCAACUACAGGCUAGCGAAGCCAUGAGAAAAAAAGCUGGUAAAUUGGUUCGUGGGACUCGGAGGGAAGACUGUAGGGGCCACUACUCGUCGACUGCUGGAAGCUCUAAUGACCCAAAACGUUGUGGUGAAUUUCAGCUGGAAAGGGCAAAAGGGCAAGGCGAAAUUCCAACAACUGCAGUGUGUUGAGCUCAUUUACCAGGCUGUAAAAAGAAACCCCCGUAUCACAACGACACGUCACGACAUUGAAGAGGUAAUCAAGACGUGGCUACGACACGCGGCGGAGAAGCUCAGGAAGCUUGAGGAAUCUGGUCUUGGCAACAUCCCCUAACUUUUUAUGAGCAUCUAUAUCCAUGUAUAGUGUGCAUCUUCUUUAAUUCAUGCUUAUUUUUUUUCUUUU
RNAcentral lists this long non-coding RNA (727 nucleotides) under Ixodes scapularis (black-legged tick). RNAcentral describes it as "uncharacterized LOC115318681, transcript variant X1". The record is from RNAcentral. Lineage: Eukaryota; Metazoa; Arthropoda; Arachnida; Ixodida; Ixodidae.